Molecule: ribosomal RNA, 274 nt
Filed under: uncultured bacterium
Lineage: Bacteria
Description: partial 16S ribosomal RNA
Rfam family: Bacterial small subunit ribosomal RNA
Source: RNAcentral
AUACUUAGGGUGCGAGCGUUAAUCGGAAUUACUGGGCGUAAAGCGAGUGUAGGCGGCUAUAUAAGUCGGAUGUGAAAGCCCCGGGCUCAACCUGGGAAUUGCAUUCGAAACUGUAUAGCUAGAGUUUGGUAGAGGUAAGUGGAAUUCAGGGUGUAGCGGUGAAAUGCGUAGAUAUCCUGAGGAACAUCAGUGGCGAAGGCGGCUUACUGGACCAAAACUGACGCUGAGGCUCGAAAGCGUGGGGAGCAAACAGGAUUAGAAACCCUAGUAGUCC